AGCGAACGCUGGCGGCGGGCUUAACACAUGCAAGUCGAACGGCAGGGCCCUACUUUUGUGCGGUGCUCGGUUGGCGAACGGGUGAGUAACACGUAUGUAACCUGCCCUACUCUUUGGUAUGACUUCACGUAGCUGGAGCUAAGACCGUAUAGGAGCUCCUGCUGCAUUGUGGGGGUUGGAAAGUUUGGGCGGUUGGGGAUGGACGCGCGGGUGAUCGCCUAGUUGGUGGGGGAGUGGCUUGCCGAGGCUGUGAAGGGUAGGCGGCCGGAGUGGGUGACCGGGCACAUGGGGACUGCGAUAGGGAGCAGAGUCGUAUGGGAGGCAGCAGUGGGAAAUCUUGUACAAUGGGCGGAAGCGAGAUGAAGAAACGUCGCGUGUGGGAUGACGGCCUUCGGGGUGAAAAACGCUUUCGGCUAUGACCCCGCGGGAGUGACGGUAAUGGAUAAAGAAGCACCGGCUAACUACGUG
Molecule: ribosomal RNA, 468 nt
Filed under: uncultured bacterium
Lineage: Bacteria
Description: partial 16S ribosomal RNA
Rfam family: Bacterial small subunit ribosomal RNA
Source: RNAcentral